Molecule: ribosomal RNA, 497 nt
Filed under: uncultured bacterium
Lineage: Bacteria
Description: partial 16S ribosomal RNA
Rfam family: Bacterial small subunit ribosomal RNA
Source: RNAcentral
GACGAACGCUGGCGGCGUGCCUAAUACAUGCAAGUUGAGCGAUGAAGCUUGGUGCUUGCACCAAUUUGAAGAGCAGCGAACGGGUGAGUAACGCGUGGGGAAUCUGCCUUUGAGCGGGGGACAACAUUUGGAAACGAAUGCUAAUACCGCAUAACAACUUUAAACAUAAGUUUUAAGUUUGAAAGAUGCAAUUGCAUCACUCAAAGAUGAUCCCGCGUUGUAUUAGCUAGUUGGUGAGGUAAAGGCUCACCAAGGCGAUGAUACAUAGCCGACCUGAGAGGGUGAUCGGCCACAUUGGGACUGAGACCCGGCCCCAACUCCUUCGGGAGGCAGCAGUAGGGAAUCUUCGGCAAUGGACGAAAGUCUGACCGAGCAACGCCGCGUGAGUGAAGAAGGUUUUCGGGUCGUAAAACUCUGUUGGUAGAGAAGAACGUUGGUGAGAGUGGAAAGCUCAUCAAGUGACGGUAACUACCCAGAAAGGGACGGCUAACUACGUG